GAUGAACGCUGGCGGCGUGCUUAACACAUGCAAGUCGAACGGAAAGGCUCCUGCUUGCAGGGGUACUCGAGUGGCGAACGGGUGAGUAACACGUGGGUGAUCUGCCCUGCACUUCGGGAUAAGCCUGGGAAACUGGGUCUAAUACCGGAUAGGACGAUGGUUUGGAUGCCAUUGUGGAAAGUUUUUUCGGUGUGGGAUGAGCUCGCGGCCUAUCAGCUUGUUGGUGGGGUAAUGGCCUACCAAGGCGUCGACGGGUAGCCGGCCUGAGAGGGUGUACGGCCACAUUGGGACUGAGAUACGGCCAGACUCCUACGGGAGGCAGCAGUGGGGAAUAUUGCACAAUGGGCGCAAGCCUGAUGCAGCGACGCCGCGUGGGGGAUGACGGCCUUCGGGUUGUAAACUCCUUUCGCUAGGGACGAAGCGCAAGUGACGGUACCUGGAGAAGAAGCACCGGCUAACUACGUG
RNAcentral lists this ribosomal RNA (465 nucleotides) under uncultured bacterium. RNAcentral describes it as "partial 16S ribosomal RNA". It matches the Rfam family "Bacterial small subunit ribosomal RNA", at positions 28 to 507 of the family's 1533-position model. The record is from RNAcentral.